Molecule: non-coding RNA, 46 nt
Filed under: Schistosoma curassoni
Lineage: Eukaryota; Metazoa; Platyhelminthes; Trematoda; Strigeidida; Schistosomatidae
Source: RNAcentral
ACACUACUGAAGAGUCCAACAAUAGGAUGAAACGAUCGUUCAGUGC